RNAcentral lists this long non-coding RNA (324 nucleotides) under Elaeis guineensis (African oil palm). Its description in RNAcentral is "long non-coding RNA (EGUI_LNC027982)". The record is from RNAcentral. Lineage: Eukaryota; Viridiplantae; Streptophyta; Magnoliopsida; Arecales; Arecaceae.
AAGCUUUUGUUAAGGGUAGAAAUUUAUGAAGAAAAAUUAUUCUUAAUCUCAUAAGUGCUUUGAUGCAUGGUUAUUCACGUAUGCAUCCUUAAUACUUUUCAAAUACUCGAUAUUUAAUCCUUGUGCUUUAACAUAUUAUUUUUUAGCAAAAAUAUGGAGAAAACACUAUUUCAAUUUGAUAUUUAUGAUCUUAAGUAGAAUAAAAUUGAUUUUUCUAAAAUCUUUUGAUGUAUUUUAGGAAUAGGAGAAAUGAAUUUUCAUGUAAAACUUUUGUCAGUUUGAAUUAAAUCUCUCAAAGUUUAAGUGUAGAAAUUGCAAGAAAAU